This is a non-coding RNA of Bursaphelenchus xylophilus (pine wood nematode), 46 nucleotides long. NCBI's taxonomy places the organism in Eukaryota, Metazoa, Nematoda, Chromadorea, Rhabditida, Aphelenchoididae. The record is from Rfam.
CAAACGGCCCUCUUUAGGGCCACAUCACGCUGGGUAUUUUUUCUUU